GGAGAAGUGGCAGAGUUGGUCGAUUGCAUCUGACUUGAAAUCAGACGAGUCGUAAAGAUUCCGGGGGUUCGAAUCCCUCCUUCUCCG
Molecule: transfer RNA, 87 nt
Filed under: Nephroselmis pyriformis
Lineage: Eukaryota; Viridiplantae; Chlorophyta; Nephroselmidophyceae; Nephroselmidales; Nephroselmidaceae
Description: tRNA-Ser
Rfam family: tRNA
About the family: Transfer RNA (tRNA) molecules are approximately 80 nucleotides in length.
Source: RNAcentral